RNAcentral lists this unclassified non-coding RNA (18 nucleotides) under Dictyostelium discoideum. Lineage: Eukaryota; Evosea; Eumycetozoa; Dictyosteliales; Dictyosteliaceae. The record is from RNAcentral.
GGGAAAGGUGAAAAGAAC